Molecule: non-coding RNA, 574 nt
Organism: Lupinus albus (white lupine)
Lineage: Eukaryota; Viridiplantae; Streptophyta; Magnoliopsida; Fabales; Fabaceae
Source: the annotation of a GenBank genome assembly
UUUGUCACUUAAACUAUUAAAAAAAGUCUUUCUUGAAUUCGAUUAUGUUUUGAUAAAAUACCGACAUCAAUAAAGAAAACCUUGAUUUUGUGUGUAAAUAUUUGUACAGAUUGUGGAAUGGAGAAUACCCUGAAACCUGGUGAUGUUAUACAGUGCCGUGAGUGUGGUUACCGAAUCCUUUACAAGAAGCGCACUCGUCGCAUUGUCCAGUAUGAGGCACGCUGAAGAAUGCUGCUGCGGUGUAGCGAACAGUUUGCCAUAGCACCAAUAUUAAUAUGUACUAAAACUGUUGCUGCAACAAUUGGCAUGUAACAAAUAUUAAUAUGUACUGACUGAAACUGUUGCUGCAUCUUCCACCUUCUGUUUGGUUAUUGGAUAAUUACAAAGUCCAUGUAAAGUCAAGAACUAUUUUUAGCUCUGGGAUGAUCUGGUUAAUUCCAGGGUGUGUUUGCAUUUGGGAGAUAUUGGAUAAAAAAUUAAAGAAACAUGAAAACCGUGUGAAUUGCAUGACCUUUACUUGUUUGGAUUUUAGUUUGCAUUACUUUUACUUGUGUGGUUAAAGAAAUGACUGGUC